This 327-nucleotide ribosomal RNA is filed under the name uncultured eukaryote. RNAcentral describes it as "partial 18S ribosomal RNA". It matches the Rfam family "Eukaryotic small subunit ribosomal RNA", at positions 1470 to 1796 of the family's 1831-position model. The record is from RNAcentral.
CCCUUAGAUGUUCUGGGCUGCACGCGCGCUACACUGAUGCACUCAACGAGUUUACGACCUUGUCCGAGAGGAUUGGGUAAUCUUUUUAAAAUGCAUCGUGAUGGGGAUAGAUUAUUGCAAUUAUUAAUCUUGAACGAGGAAUUCCUAGUAAUCGCAGAUCAUCAAUCUGCAAUGAUUACGUCCCUGCCCUUUGUACACACCGCCCGUCGCACCUACCGAUUGAAUGGUCCGGUGAAGACUCGGGAUCGUGGCUUAGUUGCUUAAUUGUGAUUAGACCGUGAGAACCUGUCUAAACCUUAUCAUUUAGAGGAAGGUGAAGUCGUAACA